RNAcentral lists this ribosomal RNA (253 nucleotides) under uncultured bacterium. Its description in RNAcentral is "partial 16S ribosomal RNA". It matches the Rfam family "Bacterial small subunit ribosomal RNA", at positions 524 to 776 of the family's 1533-position model. The record is from RNAcentral.
UACGAAGGGGGCUAGCGUUGCUCGGAAUCACUGGGCGUAAAGGGUGCGUAGGCGGGGCUUUAAGGCAGGGGUGAAAUCCUGGAGCUCAACUCCAGAACUGCCUUUGAUACUGAGGAUCUUGAGUUCGGGAGAGGUGAGUGGAACUGCGAGUGUAGAGGUGAAAUUCGUAGAUAUUCGCAAGAACACCAGUGGCGAAGGCGGCUCACUGGCCCGGAACUGACGCUGAGGUGCGAAAGCGUGGGGAGCAAACAGG